This 516-nucleotide ribosomal RNA is filed under the name uncultured bacterium. RNAcentral's name for it is "partial 16S ribosomal RNA". It matches the Rfam family "Bacterial small subunit ribosomal RNA", at positions 28 to 523 of the family's 1533-position model. The record is from RNAcentral.
GACGAACGCUGGCGGCGUGCCUAAUACAUGCAAGUCGAGCGGACUUUCAUUGGUGCUUGCACCUUUGAAAGUUAGCGGCGGACGGGUGAGUAACACGUGGGUAACCUACCCUGUAGAUUGGGAUAACUCCGGGAAACCGGGGCUAAUACCGAAUAACACUUUUGAACUCAUGUUCGAAAGUUAAAAGAUGGUUUCGGCUAUCACUACAGGAUGGGCCCGCGGCGCAUUAGCUAGUUGGUGAGGUAACGGCUCACCAAGGCAACGAUGCGUAGCCGACCUGAGAGGGUGAUCGGCCACACUGGGACUGAGACACGGCCCAGACUCCUACGGGAGGCAGCAGUAGGGAAUCUUCCACAAUGGACGAAAGUCUGAUGGAGCAACGCCGCGUGAGUGAAGAAGGAUUUCGGUUCGUAAAACUCUGUUGCAAGGGAAGAACAAGUAGCGUAGUAACUGGCGCUACCUUGACGGUACCUUGUUAGAAAGCCACGGCUAACUACGUGCCAGCAGCCGCCGUAA